RNAcentral lists this transfer RNA (172 nucleotides) under Sporisorium scitamineum. Its description in RNAcentral is "transfer RNA-Asn(GTT)". It matches the Rfam family "tRNA". From Rfam's summary of the family: Transfer RNA (tRNA) molecules are approximately 80 nucleotides in length. Their secondary structure includes four short double-helical elements and three loops (D, anti-codon, and T loops). Lineage: Eukaryota; Fungi; Basidiomycota; Ustilaginomycetes; Ustilaginales; Ustilaginaceae. The record is from RNAcentral.
GACUCCGUAGCUCAGUUGGUUAGAGCGUAGCACUGUUAUGCUAAGAGGAUUCGGUGCGCUCCACACCUUGCAGAUGGUUGUGAGUCCUCCCUUGCCCUCGGCAUCCUCUCAUCUUCGCCUGCAGGCGUCUGAAGAGAUGCUAAGGUCGGCGGUUCGAGCCCGCCCGGGGUCG